This 633-nucleotide ribosomal RNA is filed under the name uncultured bacterium. RNAcentral's name for it is "bacterial SSU rRNA". It matches the Rfam family "Bacterial small subunit ribosomal RNA", at positions 338 to 1533 of the family's 1533-position model. The record is from RNAcentral.
CCUACGGGAGGCAGCAGUGGGGAAUUUUGGACAAUGGGCGCAAGCCUGAUCCAGCAAUGCCGCGUGAGUGAAGAAGGCCUUCGGGUUGUAAAGCUCUUUUGUCAGGGAAGAAACGGUCUACUCUAAUACAGUGGGCUAAUGACGGUACCUGAAGAAUAAGCACCGGCUAACUACGUGCCAGCAGCCGCGGUAAUACGUAGGGUGCAAGCGUUAAUCGGAAUUACUGGGCGUAAAGCGUGCGCAGGCGGUUAUAUAAGUCAGAUGUGAAAUCCCCGGGCUCAACCUGGGAACUGCAUUUGAGACUGUAUGGCUAGAGUGUGUCAGAGGGGGGUAGAAUUCCACGUGUAGCAGUGAAAUGCGUAGAUAUGUGGAGGAAUACCGAUGGCGAAGGCAGCCCCCUGGGAUAACACUGACGCUCAUGCACGAAAGCGUGGGGAGCAAACAGGAUUAGAUACCCUGGUAGUCCACGCCCUAAACGAUGUCUACUAGUUGUCGGGACUUAAUUGUCUUGGUAACGCAGCUAACGCGUGAAGUGACCGCCUGGGGAGUACGGUCGCAAGAUUAAAACCGANAAAGUGAAGUUCGACGGUCGUAGGAGACGUUACGACGACGGACGACGACGGAGGGAGGAGG